This 9134-nucleotide long non-coding RNA is filed under the name Coffea arabica (coffee). RNAcentral describes it as "long non-coding RNA (CARA_LNC002959)". Lineage: Eukaryota; Viridiplantae; Streptophyta; Magnoliopsida; Gentianales; Rubiaceae. The record is from RNAcentral.
UUUUUUUUUUUUUUUUUUUUUUGGUAUGUGGCCUAACACUAGAAAAGUUAAAUCUUGAAAGGGUAAUAAUUUAUAGAGGACAUCAGGGGAAAGAAAUAGUUUUAAAAGAAUAAUACAAAAACAAUCUCCAAAUUCAUCAAAUUUUUUUAAUCCUUAUGUAAGUGUGGGAUAGAUACGGUAUUGGAACGAGAAGAAUGUUUUGGGACAGUACCUAAUUGUUGAUUUUGACCACUCAAAUAAUGUGUGUCAAAAUCUCACCAGGGACGAUCAGUUGACCCAUAAAAGAAUAGCAUGAUUUGGGUUUUUUGUUUUUUUGCAUCUAGUGCUUAACUUUUGUAUUUUUGUCCUAUUUAGAGGAAUUUUGUUUUGUGAAUAUUUUGAGGUUUUUGUACUCUUUGAGACGUGGAUAUUUUCAUGGGGUUAUUGAUUAAGCCAUUUUAAAUCGGCAAUUUAUUUGGUCUUGUUCUCGGUUGUUUUAAAUUUACAAAAUCUGAUUAUAGAAAGUAAAAGUUACUCUUUGGAUGAUUAUAGAUUUUAGCUUUUCGAUCAUUAAAAAAAUCUAUAAUCAAAAUACAAAUGCAAUGCAUAAUAUCACAAAAACUGAUUAUUCAAAAUCAAAAUCUACAAUCAAUUAAAAUAAUCAAUCAAUAACAAACCCUAUAUAUAAAUGCGUGGGUUAUUGAUCUUGACGUGAGAGCAGGUACAGUUAGCUCAAACAACAGGCAUAAGAAAGAAAAUAUGGCAGGGGCAAUAUCAUUUUGCAGUAGUGGGAGGAUGAAUUAAAAAGGAAAAAGUAAAGUUAUUAGCGUUCACCAUUUCUUAAUUGGUAGUCAAUUACAUCUUAGUUCUUAUCUUUGAACUAAUCAAAAUAAUAAUAAUAAUAAUAAUAAUAAUAAUAAUAAUAACCGUAUCUGCUAUCACCAUCCCCAACCCCAAAAAACAAAAAAAAAAAAAAAAAAUUCUUCUCUCAAGUUGUCCAAAUAGCAUUUAAAUGUGCAGAGAACUACUUUGAACUAAUCAAAAUAACCGUAUAUGCUAUCACCAUCAUGAAGUGGACAUUUUUAUUCCAUAUACCAUAUCUCGUUGCAUUUUCUAUUUCCAGCAGCUCAACCUGUACUAAUAUGCAUAUAUCAUACUCAGCUAAGCAACAAAAUUAGAGGUAAAUAUUCACAAAUACCAAGUGUUUCAAGAUGCUUCUUCAAGGUGGAGGAUUGGAUUGGGUGGCAAGUGGGAGGGAGCAAAAGGAAAAAAAAAUGCUUCUUCAAGAAUUUCAAUAGCAAAUGACUUCUUGGUUCGAAUUACAUGGUUCAAUCGACUGAUUUACCGCAACAUAUAUUUCAACUAAGAAAUCUGAUCUAACAUGUUGUUGGUGGGUCAUAAUGUACUUUAUCCUUGGUUAUUAUCUAUAGAAAGCAUUAUAAAAUAUUCCUUCAGCUAUAGUAUAGCAUAACAAGCAAAGCUCCAGAAAUCAAAGAUGCAUACAAAGAUAACUAAUUCUUGAAUAAGAUGCACGUUAUAUCUCCAAAGACAUCUUGCAUUGAGAAGAAAAUAACCCCACAAAAUCCAUGCAGGAAAAUGACAAAUAAAAGCAUAGAAUACAACGACCUUUUCCUCAAUAAGCAUGCCACAUUAUUCAUCAGCUUGGCAGUUGGCAGAACUCAUGAUUUGUAAAGCUUUAAACUUCGUCCCUCAUCGAAGAUAGAAAAUCACUAGUGUAGAAGCCAGUAGUGUUCGUGGAGAUUCCAGCUGAGCAACAGAAGGGAAAUAUGGCUCAUGCUCAUAUUCUAAACCCCCUCAUCACCACAACAAACCCUAAGAACGAUAGGAGCGACCUCUAUGACUCAUUCGAGCUUCAAGCUGUUAUGAAACAGCUUAACCGUGCCAUUGAGGGUUCAAAGGCUCCUUUGUCUCCCAGCUCCUACUACCUCCUACUACCUGAAUUCCCCUUUUUACAGACGACGGUUAGACCAUAUCUACAAAGAAAAUGCUAAAGCACCUAGGAAAAUAUCAGGUUCAAUGAACAACAAUGGAGGUGUCGAGAUGAUGACAACCGCAAGAAACUGUAAGGGGCUGCAGCACCUAUGGAGGAAGGUGAAACAAACUUUUGUUGCGAGAACCAAAUUUCAAGAAAGUUGAAGGUCCCUGUAUUUCUUGAGCAAAUUGUGCAAGCUCUAGGGUUCUUGUAUUGUAUCAUAAUAAUAGUCCUUUUAUACCCUAACCACAGUUCGAAUACAGUACGAGUGUUUGUGUUUUUGUGCCAUAUCACCGUUGAACAAUCUCAAAAGGAACAUUAAAGGAUUCAAUGUCUUACCCAGAUUCUGCUAUUUAAAGCACUUUUUGAGUCCUUUCUUAAGCUUGAGCUUUUGAGAGAUUACCCAGUCCCGGCCAGCAGGGUGAUUGACAACAAAAAGAGAACUCAACUUCUAGUUAUUUGGGGGAAAUUCCGACGGAAUCCACCAUCCCUCCAACUAAAACCACGGGGGCUUGGAUUGUGACAAAUGAAUGUACAGUAUACAAAGUUCUGGAAUUAGACAUGCAAUGCACAAUCAUGAUGCGAAGAGAUGUUUGAAGUGUAGGUUCGAAUGCUAGAUAGUAGUACACGAGAAUAGGUACAAUCGCAAAGCCGCCACAACAAAAUGCCUCUUCUUGAGAAUGUUAAUCAAAGGGGUACACAAACAAGUUCAAGCUAGAAGCAAUUAACAAUUCAAAAAAUUAAAACUACAUUUUACACAAGAUGGUAUCUGUGCAUAUAUGCAGAAGGUGAUAAGACGCUUUGAAACCUAUAUUACAAAAUCAGAACAACUAUUCUCGUGAAAACGUUGAUCCACGAAGCAGGUAUGCUUGUAUAGCUGAACAUGUUUACGUGUAUAUAAAUCUAGGACAGUCUCAGUGCCAUUUCUUGAAGAAGCGAUCGCUUUUGUGAUGCAUUAAUUACAUGGUUGGAUUCAGCAUUUUCAAGCACAUCAGUAAUUAUGGCUGCCGCAUGACCCAGAGGUUCUUCUGCUGCUCUUCUCAACAUAAAAGCCUGCAGCAGAAAGGGGAAUGCAAUAUAAGUAAUAAUCUCACUGUUCUUUUUUCCCCUGAGAAAUUGGAGCUUAUCCAACACUAUGUUAAACAUCAGCACACAUGCAUUUUUUUCUUUCGCAAUUUUGAGAAAGCACUGAUUAAAGAAGCCACCAUAGUUUCUGCAUGGACUUCUAUAAUUCUAGGUGUUCAAAAAAGUCGUUCCUGUUGGUCCAAUUUCCCUACAUGCAAAACGUAUGUUGCCAAAUGCAGAAUCCAGAAAAGCUUAUCAUAUAGGCCAUACCCCUCUAUAGGCAAGGCCCUGCUACAACUUCCCCUGCUGCUUUUAGAUUUUACCUUUCCUUUUCCCUUUUUUUUUUUUUGGAGAGGCGGGGGGUGUGGUGGGUGGAAGUGUCGUUAGUUUUUUCCUCUUGUAGAAGAAGGGAGUGGGGCUGGGGAAGGGAUUGGGGGGAGAGUUGCAUGCCAUGUGUAGGAGCUGCUUUGAUUUCAAGUUACAAUGACCUGGAAUCUCUUUCUGAAGGAGCUCUAGAGAAGAAGAGGGAAAGAGGAAAUGCAAGGAGUGAAACCUGUCCGUGGUGUGAUAUAGCCAAUGUACACGUUCGCUGAAACCAUGGUUCUCCAUCUAUUUGUACAGGCAAUGCAGCAAACAGCUGGAUCUUGAUGGAUUGCCCCUGAGCAAGUCUCCGUGCUCUGGAAAGACCAACCUAUUUUUAUAGAUAAGGAUUAGAUCCAUUACCAGAAUUCGAACUCCAAGAGGGUCUCAAAAGAGAAUAAAUUGGUCCUAAUCUGAUAUGCAAGUCAAAAUGUCCUAUCACUGGGCAGCAACAUUUUCCGUCUGCAUGUGUGAUACAGACUUCAAGUCACAACUGCCAUACCUGGAGCUUUCCAAGAUGCCAUGUUCCUGAAAUGCUUACAACCUCGAGCAUCUUAUCAUGCAUUGAUUGAGGAUCAAAAUUAUCUUCUGUUUCAUCCUCAUUUUGCCACAAGUCUACUCCACCCAUAUAGCUUCCAAUGUUUGCAACUAGAACACCUUCAGCAUCCUGCGAAUGAUCACAAAUAAAACACCACAUUUUCAUAAUAUAAAUAAAACAAGAGGAAAAAAAAGGAUGAACAAAUUACAUCAAAUUCUAAUUAAGCAGACAAGAACCACAAGCUAGAAUAAAAGGGCAGAAAGGAAACAGUUGAAGCAAGUUCAUCAUUUGCAAGCUAGUACCCACCUCAGGGACCUCAAUCUCAACACCGUCAACUUCCACACGAACUUGCCAGGGAAAAUCUGCAAAGGUCCUGUCCAUAAUACUUCUUGCCCCUUCUCUUGCAUAAAGAACUUUGUUCAUGAACUGGAAUUACAGAGGCAAUAACUUUAGUUCCACGGGAAAUGCAAAAUCACAAAAUUAUCAAGAACAAAUGAUAGUCAUAGUAGGAUAUGACUUGAAUGAUUUUCACACAGCACUAUCCUUUUCAAACAACAAAUGAUAAUCUAUCCAUAAAAAAAAUCACCGUAAUUGAAUACAGAAAAGUACUUUACAAAAUAGAACAAAUAAUUAAAUCUACUCACAUACGUAGUGGAAGAAGCAUAAGUAAAGGAAUCAGCACAUGACAAUGGAAAGAAGUUUCACAUCAGUUUUCCAUUCACUUCCUAAUCCCUCCUUCCUCCUUUCCACUCCCUUACCAUCAAAACAUAAAAUAAUAAUUCAUAAAACCAAAAAUCCUGUGGAAGUCAAAAGUGGGCAAGGACAAAGAAUGACUAAAACCUUAGGGCAAAAGAAGGGAUUCAGCAAAGUUUAUUUGUUUGGAGAUGUAACCACCAAAAAAAAAAAAAAAAAAGCAGGCUUUUCUAAGCAAAAAUUCUCUGGAUACUUAAUACAGGCAAUAUCUCAAGUAUUUUGUCCGUAAUUGUUGAGAAGAGACAAAAGGCGGCAGAAUGGAACAAGAAGUAAAACACCAGCCAAGGCAAUCGAAUUCUUUUUGGAGUAUACAUUGUUUUGCCUUCUGUGAGCUUGAGAAAUGCUCACACUGGGUGGUUGAUCCUAAUGAAAUCUAAGUGGAAUGCCUAUGAGUUCAACUUCUUGCUCUUAGUUUUCAUUCUACUAUUGCUUCCUCCUAAACUCCAACCAAUUCCCUCUCCUAUCUUAGAUUCUCAAAACUUUCUAUCAGUUAAAUUUUCUACGUCUAAGGGUUCUGAAAUCAGAUUUUAUCCACUGGUGUUUCUUGGAGCUGCAUCACCAAGUCCAAAUCAACUUCUACCAAUCAAUAUUAAUCUUCAAACAUCUGUGCAUAUUUAGGCAUAAAGCCCUGUUGCAGCACCGCAUACCAUGCAUACUGCCAUUGCCAUUAUAUACCCAUGAAAUAUGUCAGACAAAAGGAGAAGAAGGGGGCCCACCGGGGGGGUGGUGUGGGAAGUUCCCUUGCUUCACAAAAGUACUACUCCUAUGAGUCUUGUAAUCAAAUAUGGCAAUCUGUUGGACACUAACCUAUUUCAAGGGGCUGACUACUCCAAGCAAACAGCACUACAGAUUCUCCACUCGAACAUAAAAGUCCAUCUUUAUUUGGAGUUCUAUAAUGAUUUUUGCAAGUUAAAGAUCCAUAAUCAUGCAGUUAGCAUGGUCAGUUCUUUGUGAAGAAAGGCCAAAGUACAAAAGUAAAAGACACCAUUUCAAGUUUAUAAUCACUUAGUCCUACCACAUUAGAUAUAAUCAGCAUGAUCCUACCACAUUAGAUAUAAUCAGUGUGAUUGGUACAUCAUUCUUAUGCUACGUAAAAACAAAUUUAGGAGACAAACCAGCAACUUGGAUCUUUAUCUAGAGUUCAGUAGCUAAUGCAAGCUAUAGUGUGAUGUAAGCAAAUUUACCUGGUUAUAAAACUUUUCCGGAUUUUCCUCUCUCAGAUUAUGUAUGUCCAAGGCAACCUUAGCAUCACAACCAACCCCUGUGGCAAAACUAGCCCAAGUUCAAACAACAAAGACGAGAAAACAUCCUUGAAGAAUCACAAACCAAAUACACAAUCCAGGUUGCAGGGGAACCUAAAAAAUUCCAAUAAGAUUUAUAACACAUGUUGAGCUUUCACAAUGUCUUCUUUUCAAAUGAAAUUCCUACUUUUCCCCAGCCACAAUUUCAAAAGAAAUAGAAAGAUAAAAAUAGAAAACAAAAUCACCUUUAAACAAUUAAUGCACAAGGGCAUACUGAUACUAAAAGAAAUAAGUCAAGCAUCUAAAAAACCUGAUGUCACCAGUCACAACCCAAUAAAAAGAGAGGGAAAGAGACAGAAAGGAUUAAUAGUAGGCUUCCCAUGCAAAUUUGAUGAGUUGCAUCUUCAGAUGUAGCAUCAGCAAUACUAUCAUCCCUAAAAUGGGUAAUUCAUCGUGUCUGGAGCUAUUCAUGGUAUUCAGUGAACAAAGCUACUCAUUUAGUAGCCCAAGAGUAUAAUGUAGUACUUCUCAUUUUUUAACUGUCUUAUAUGCUAUCAAACACAUACAUAAACAUAAACUCAUCAACAAAGAGAGCUGCCAACUUACCAAGAUAGUUAUUCAUGAACUUUGGAGCUUGCAGUGGUUUUCCCUGUUGGUUUAAAAUUGAAACCUUCCAUCGAUCAAGAAUGGUAACCGCCGCAUUUUCUAUGUGAUUUAAUAAUGUGCAAAGGCCUCCUUGUCUCUCAACCGAACCUAGACCCCCACCCCAUGAAAGAACUCGAGCCAAAUCAUUUCCAGUUCCUGCAGGAAGAAUAGCCAUAGGCGGAGGAGAAACAAAAUUUUGCUUGUCGAUGGCAUUCAAAACCCAGCCAACAGUGCCAUCUCCUCCACAAACAAGGACUCUGAAGUGGGGUACCCUUCUAAAUAAAUAUAAACCAACUUCAGGUCCCUGUGCAGAGCUAAGCUCAAAAACCUGUAGCAGAUCAUGGAGAACCAUACAGCAUAAUUGUAUCUUAUGGAAAGAAAAAAGGGGGAAGUUUGGGUGGGCAGGAAAAGAGGAAAGCAACACAUCAUUUCAACUACCAGACUGACAAAGUGUCUUAACAUCUUGGCGAGCACCAGUCCAAUAAAUCAUCAUUAAAAUAAAGUCUUAGAUACUGGAAAGCAACGCUCUAUGAUGGUAAGUAAAAAAAAUAGAAAUCAAAUAAUUGAAAAAAAAAAAUUAUGCAUUCUUCCUUUCUCAUGUGAUCCAAUAUUUAAUAUGUCUGAGCAAUUGCAGUUGCCACAGAACAAUUUGCUCACUAAACUACAUCGCCAUUCAUUAACAUCUACAACCCUAAAUAUUCCAUAAACCCUGUUUUUACCACAUGGUAUUUUGGGGUAUGAAAAAUACCACCACCAACACUGAGUAGCCACAAAAUAAAGAGCCUAUUUUCAUUCUCUGUAAUCUGUAUGAAUGCAGAAAACAAAAUUAUGAAAAGCUAGUACCACCCAACUAAUGAGUUUCAGCUUUUUUAGCUUUCAAUCGCAUAAAAGCUAGACCAAAAAAAAAAAAAAAGCAGCUUGGUCAGCAUAUUGUAACUUUUUUGUUUCCAAUGGAAGAUGGUCAUAAACUUGGAAACUCAAUUUUAAAUUGAGAUCCAAUAUGGAAUAAAACGGCCAACAUGUUUCCCACUUUGUUUGUGAACCUUUAUACAGUAUUAACUCUCAACUAUUCCAUUCUUUUCAGUCAAAUGCUGCCCUAUAUGAUUCAACAGUGGAAGGACAAAUAAAGGGGGAAAAUCAUGUUCUUAUUCAAUGAAAUACUCAUUUGGCACACUUCAACAGUAUGCUUAAAAGGAAGGAAGCGGGUAGUCAAAAAAGGCAAGUAGGGGUAUAAAAAAGAGGAUAGUGUGUGGAUAAAUAUGUAAAACCAUUUACACCAAAUUCUUUGAAGGGUAAUCUGGAAAACCAUUUACGCCAAAACCUUUUUAGGCUUUAUACAUACUAAGAUGAAAUUGGACAAACUCGAUCUACCCACAAGCAAACGCAUGCACACGUACACAGAGCACAGAGCGGAAGAGAGAUUAGCUGAGUGCAAAACUCUUACUUGAACAGGAUUCAGUAGAAUGUUCAGUCGCUGACGCAGUGAAUCUCCCCUUUGGGCUCCGCUCUUCUUAUUUAUGAACACUAGCAAUGGUCUUGCAUCUGAAGGCAAAUCAACCAAUUCAUAGCUUUGUCUCAUCCUAGCUAAAUGCAACUCAUCCUUUUGAUUGAUUGACGAACUUCUUUUAAAGCUAGGCUGGGACUCCAUCUUUUUUACUCCACCAUUCUGUUGCACAUCUGCACUGUCUGGGCUUACACCAUUGUUGCAGUUUUCCUCCACUCCGUGCAAACCAUUAACUCGUGGACUAUCAGCUGCGCUUUCUGUGGAUGCGUCACUGAUAACACUACUAUUACCUUUGUCUGCAGUGGCUUCAUGAUUGUGUUUAUGUUUUUUACCUUGACUUCUUAUACUGGCACGGACAGAUGACGCAAUCUCAUUGGCACCAUGUGUAAUAGAGCUUAAAAUUCGACCUGCAGAAGUCCUAUUCAAUUCCUUAACAAAAAGAGGUGAUAGAAUAAGUCUGCUAAAAGGGCCCAAAUCGCAAAUGUCACCACUCUCAUUAGAGAAACUACCGUGACAGUCAACAUGUACCAAGCGCUGACACCAUAAACAACACCAUAUAGGGGAGCCACCAAGAAAAGAACUACUGCAUGGCUCUUCACAAUAGCUACAGAAAGAUGAUUCAUCAGGUUGAUCCAUAACAUCUGCCCAGCGCAAUGCCCACUGAUGCAUCACUUGCUCAUAUCCAAGCAUAGACACACACUUGCAGCUAAGAUGAUCCUUAUGUGCAUUUGACGAGCAGCUAAGAUGAGCUGCUGAACCACAUAUGCUGCAACGAUGAAUAAAACUAUCUGAAGCCCCAAUGGGACCAAGAGCUUGUGAAGGUGACAUGGAUUUUAAGCACACGCAGCAGUUUAAACUUUUCCCACGAUAUCCAGAUUCCAAAAUCCAUGUAUGAGGAGCCACAGGAACCUUGGUUCUUGCUUUUGGGUUCUUCUUUGACCUGGAAAUGGCUUUCAUCCAACUCAAAUUGAUAUUUCUUCUCCACUGGAAAGCUGUGUAGAAUAUUGUCAAAAUUCCUACCAAACCAGCAAUAAAGCAAGAGAGGACAAAGAGGCG